RNAcentral lists this ribosomal RNA (253 nucleotides) under uncultured bacterium. RNAcentral's name for it is "partial 16S ribosomal RNA". It matches the Rfam family "Bacterial small subunit ribosomal RNA", at positions 524 to 776 of the family's 1533-position model. The record is from RNAcentral.
UACGAAGGGGGCUAGCGUUGUUCGGAAUUACUGGGCGUAAAGCGUGCGUAGGCGGUGGUCCAAGUCUGGUGUGAAAUCUCCCGGCUCAACUGGGAGGGUGCGCCGGAAACUGGGCCGCUGGAGUACGGGAGAGGCAAGCGGAAUUCCAGGUGUAGCGGUGAAAUGCGUAGAUAUCUGGAGGAACACCCGUGGUGCAGACGGCUUGCUGGACCGUGACUGACGCUGAGGCACGAAAGCGUGGGUAGCAAACAGG